UACGAGUGGUGCAAACGUUAUUCGGAAUUACUGGGCUUAAAGGGUGCGUAGGCUGCCAUGAAGGUCUGAUGUGAAAUACCACGGCUCAACCGUGGAACGGCGUUGGAAACCACAUGGCUGGAAUGAGACAGAGGUGAGCGGAACUGAUGGUGGAGCGGUGAAAUGCGUUGAUAUCAUCAGGAACACCGGUGGCGAAAGCGGCUCACUGGGUCUUUAUUGACGCUGAUGCACGAAAGCCAGGGGAGCAAACGGG
This 253-nucleotide ribosomal RNA is filed under the name uncultured bacterium. RNAcentral describes it as "partial 16S ribosomal RNA". It matches the Rfam family "Bacterial small subunit ribosomal RNA", at positions 524 to 776 of the family's 1533-position model. The record is from RNAcentral.